GAUGAACGCUGGCGGCGUGCCUAAUACAUGCAAGUCGAGCCAACAGACGAGGAGCUUGCUCCUCAGACGUUAGCGGCUGCCGGGUGAGUAACACGUGGAUAACCUACCUAUAAGACUGGGAUCACUUCGGGAAACCGGAGCUAAUACCGGAUAAUAUAUUGAACCGCAUGGUUCAAUAGUGCAAGGCGGUUUUGCUGUCACUUAUAGAUGGCUCCGCGCCGCAUUAGCUAGUUGGUAAGGUAACGGCUUACCAAGGCAACGAUGCGUAGCCGACCUGAGAGGGGGAUCGGCCACACUGGAACUUAGAGACGGUCCAUACGCCUACGGGAGUCAGCAGUAGGGAAUCGUCCGCAAUGGGCGAAAGCCGGACGGAGCAGUGCCGCGUGAGUGAUGAAGGUCUUCGGAUCGUAAAACUCGGUUAUUAGGGAAGAACAAAUGUGUAAGUAACUAUGCACGUCUUGACGGUACCUAAGCAGAAGGCCACGGCUAACUACGUG
Molecule: ribosomal RNA, 497 nt
Filed under: uncultured bacterium
Lineage: Bacteria
Description: partial 16S ribosomal RNA
Rfam family: Bacterial small subunit ribosomal RNA
Source: RNAcentral